Molecule: ribosomal RNA, 1372 nt
Filed under: uncultured bacterium
Lineage: Bacteria
Description: bacterial SSU rRNA
Rfam family: Bacterial small subunit ribosomal RNA
Source: RNAcentral
GAUGAACGCUGGCGGCGUGCCUAAUACAUGCAAGUCGAGCGAACGGACGAGAAGCUUGCUUCUCUGAUGUUAGCGGCGGACGGGUGAGUAACACGUGGAUAACCUACCUAUAAGACUGGGGUAACUUCGGGAAACCGGAGCUAAUACCGGAUAAUAUUUUGAACCGCAUGGUUCAAAAGUGAAAGACGGUCUUGCUGUCACUUAUAGAUGGAUCCGCGCUGCAUUAGCUAGUUGGUAAGGUAACGGCUUACCAAGGCAACGAUGCAUAGCCGACCUGAGAGGGUGAUCGGCCACACUGGAACUGAGACACGGUCCAGACUCCUACGGGAGGCAGCAGUAGGGAAUCUUCCGCAAUGGGCGAAGGCCUGACGGAGCAACGCCGCGUGAGUGAUGAAGGUCUUCGGAUCGUAAAACUCUGUUAUUAGGGAAGAACAUAUGUGUAAGUAACUGUGCACAUCUUGACGGUACCUAAUCAGAAAGCCACGGCUAACUACGUGCCAGCAGCCGCGGUAAUACGUAGGUGGCAAGCGUUAUCCGGAAUUAUUGGGCGUAAAGCGCGCGUAGGCGGUUUUUUAAGUCUGAUGUGAAAGCCCACGGCUCAACCGUGGAGGGUCAUUGGAAACUGGAAAACUUGAGUGCAGAAGAGGAAAGUGGAAUUCCAUGUGUAGCGGUGAAAUGCGCAGAGAUAUGGAGGAACACCAGUGGCGAAGGCGACUUUCUGGUCUGUAACUGACGCUGAUGUGCGAAAGCGUGGGGAUCAAACAGGAUUAGAUACCCUGGUAGUCCACGCCGUAAACGAUGAGUGCUAAGUGUUAGGGGGUUUCCGCCCCUUAGUGCUGCAGCUAACGCAUUAAGCACUCCGCCUGGGGAGUACGACCGCAAGGUUGAAACUCAAAGGAAUUGGCGGGGACCCGCACAAGCGGUGGAGCAUGUGGUUUAAUUCGAAGCAACGCGAAGAACCUUACCAAAUCUUGACAUCCUUUGACAACUCUAGAGAUAGAGCCUUCCCCUUCGGGGGACAAAGUGACAGGUGGUGCAUGGUUGUCGUCAGCUCGUGUCGUGAGAUGUUGGGUUAAGUCCCGCAACGAGCGCAACCCUUAAGCUUAGUUGCCAUCAUUAAGUUGGGCACUCUAAGUUGACUGCCGGUGACAAACCGGAGGAAGGUGGGGAUGACGUCAAAUCAUCAUGCCCCUUAUGAUUUGGGCUACACACGUGCUACAAUGGACAAUACAAAGGGCAGCGAAACCGCGAGGUCAAGCAAAUCCCAUAAAGUUGUUCUCAGUUCGGAUUGUAGUCUGCAACUCGACUACAUGAAGCUGGAAUCGCUAGUAAUCGUAGAUCAGCAUGCUACGGUGAAUACGUUCCCGGGUCU